CGUAGGGUGCGAGCGUUAAUCGGAAUUACUGGGCGUAAAGCGUGCGCAGGCGGUUUUGUAAGACAGGCGUGAGAUCCCCGGGCUCAACCUGGGAACUGCGCUUGUGACUGCAAGGCUAGAGUACGGCAGAGGGGGGUGGAAUUCCACGUGUAGCAGUGAAAUGCGUAGAGAUGUGGAGGAACACCAAUGGCGAAGGCAGCCCCCUGGGUCGAUACUGACGCUCAUGCACGAAAGCGUGGGUAGCAAACAGGAUUAGAUACCCUGGUAGUCCACGCCCUAAACGAUGUCAACUAGGUGUUGGGUGGGUAAAACCAUUUAGUACCGGAGCUAACGCGUGAAGUUGACCGCCUGGGGAGUACGGCCGCAAGGUUA
Molecule: ribosomal RNA, 372 nt
Filed under: uncultured organism
Description: bacterial SSU rRNA
Rfam family: Bacterial small subunit ribosomal RNA
Source: RNAcentral